GAGUUUGAUCCUGGCUCAGGAUGAACGCUGGCGGCGUGCUUAACACAUGCAAGUCGAACGAAGCACUUGAGAUUGAAUCUUCGGAUGAGAACUCUUGUGACUGAGUGGCGGACGGGUGAGUAACGCGUGGGUAACCUACCUCAUACAGGGGGAUAACAGUUGGAAACGACCGCUAAUACCGCAUAACCCGCUAGUAUCGCAUGAUACGGACGGAAAAGAUUUAUCGGUGUGAGAUGGACCCGCGUCUGAUUAGCCAGUUGGCAGGGUAACGGCCUACCAAAGCAACGAUCAGUAGCCGGCCUGAGAGGGUGAACGGCCACAUUGGGACUGAGACACGGCCCAAACUCCUACGGGAGGCAGCAGUGGGGAAUAUUGCACAAUGGGGGAAACCCUGAUGCAGCGACGCCGCGUGAGUGAGGAAGUAUUUCGGUAUGUAAAGCUCUAUCAGCAGGGAAGAAAAUGACGGUACCUGACUAAGAAGCCCCGGCUAACUACGUGCCAGCAGCCGCGGUGAUACGUAGGGGGCAAGCGUUAU
RNAcentral lists this ribosomal RNA (535 nucleotides) under uncultured bacterium. Its description in RNAcentral is "bacterial SSU rRNA". It matches the Rfam family "Bacterial small subunit ribosomal RNA", at positions 9 to 544 of the family's 1533-position model. The record is from RNAcentral.